Molecule: ribosomal RNA, 469 nt
Filed under: uncultured fungus
Lineage: Eukaryota; Fungi
Description: eukaryotic LSU rRNA
Rfam family: 5.8S ribosomal RNA (bases 28-181)
Source: RNAcentral
AAAUGUAGUCUUAUUAUAACAUAAUAAAACUUUCAACAACGGAUCUCUUGGCUCUCGCAUCGAUGAGGAACGCAGCGAAAUGCGAUAAGUAAUGUGAAUUGCAGAAUUCAGUGAAUCAUCGAAUCUUUGAACGCACCUUGCGCUCCUUGGUAUUCCGAGGAGCAUGCCUGUUUGAGUGUCAUGAAACCCUCAAACCCAAGUUUUGGAUUUCGAUCCAUGCUUGAGUUUGGAUUUGGAUGUUUGCCGGUGAUGAACCGACUCAUCUUAAAAGUAUUAGCUUGGAUCUGUCUAUAUGACUGGUUUGACUUGGUAUAAUAAGUAUUUUGCUGAGGACAUCUUCGGAUGGCCAGGACCUAGACUACUGUCUGCUAACUAAACCAUCACUUUAAGUGCAUCUUUGGAUGUUACUCAUUGUGUAACUUUGACAUCUGGCCUCAAAUCAAGUAGGACUACCCGCUGAACUUAAGCA